AUGUAUGGCUACCAGGCCAUGUCCAAGAGGUUCCAGAGGGGCGUCCCCUUCGUGCUCGAUUUCUCCAUCGUCGCCGACCAGAACAGUUCCUGCCCACCGGAAGGCCAGCAGCCGCCUCACAACUAUGUCUGCCUCAGCGGCAACAGCUUCUGCACCAACACAAGCAAAUUAUCCGGCUAUAACUAUGUCUGCUGGUGCGACGAGUAUUAUGAGGGCAACCCUUACCUCACCAAUGGAUGCCAAGAUAUCGAUGAAUGCAAGAACCCUGAAUUGUAUCCAUGCUCGAGCAAUGGGGUCUGCAAGAACAGGCUUCGAGGCUACGACUGUCCAUGCAAGCGCGGAAUGAAGGGUGAUGGCAUAGCAGGAACCUGCAAAGAGAUAUUCCCUCUAGUUGCUAAGGUGAUUGUGGCGGCAGCAGCUUUUAUUCUAGCCAUGGUUGCAUUAUUCAUUUAUUUUCUUUGGAAAGAGAAGAAGAAGACGAAUGAGUUUUACACAAGGAACGGCGGGCCUAUAUUAGAGAAGGCAAAAUUCAUAAAAAUCUUCAAAAAGGAAGAGCUCAAGCCCAUUAUAAAGAAAAGCAAUUUCAUAGGAAAAGGUGGCUUCGGUGAAGUUUACAAGGGCCUCAUUGGAAAUUAA
RNAcentral lists this ribosomal RNA (636 nucleotides) under Triticum aestivum (bread wheat). Its description in RNAcentral is "partial small subunit ribosomal RNA". Lineage: Eukaryota; Viridiplantae; Streptophyta; Magnoliopsida; Poales; Poaceae. The record is from RNAcentral.